Long non-coding RNA from Cyprinus carpio (common carp), 906 nucleotides. RefSeq lists it as uncharacterized. The transcript is spliced from 3 exons. Lineage: Eukaryota; Metazoa; Chordata; Actinopteri; Cypriniformes; Cyprinidae. The record is from RefSeq and is a predicted model, not a curated record.
CAGAUGAAUAUUUGGAAUGUUAAAUCAUAGAAAGUGCAGCACAUAUACUAUUAAAUUGUAGGAAAUAUAGGGAAGAAAGGAGAUUAGUUAGGCUGGAAGAAAAUGGAACAAUACGAGAAGAGGUAAAGGAUGCACAGAAAGCUGUUGUGGAAUAUCUGAAAGAUAUAGGAAUAUAUUAAAGCAUUUAGUUAUAUAUAUAUCUAUAUAUAUAUAUAUAUAUAUAUUAUGUAAAGAAGCUUUAUCGAACAUAAUUGAUGCUACAUACUCCCGUUACAGUUGGUGGCGGUAUGCACCUGAUAAGUCAUUAUUGUAACCCGCUAUAAAACUAAAAGAAGAACAACAACAACAUCAACAACAACUUCCAGGCAAGUGUGUUAAGUUGGAGCUACACUCUGCAGGACAGUGGCCCUACAGGACCGAGUUUGGACACUCUUGGCCUAGGCCUAGAACAAAUCAUCUUGUUCCGUCGAUCUGCAACAUUUCGGGGGCUUUAAGGGGUGGGUGUUCUUCUGAAGAACAAGUCUGCGCACUCGUGUGUGGGUGGAGUUUUUGGGGGAAAAGUUUGAGAAGUGUUUCAGUUUUUUUUGGAGUCCAUGCUGUGGUUUUCACAAGCGUUUACGUUGAUAAAAGCAAAGCCUAGUAUCAUCAAAUGCAAAAGAUCCCAAUAGCAGCUGCAGUCAACAGAGAUCCAGCAACAGCUGCAGAGAUCUGCAUUUUCUGAGAUGCAGAGCCUGGAGAAUGUGAAGAAGAGUGUGAAGUCUGUGAAAAAUGCUACAGAAAAUAUUAUUAACCUAAAUGUAGCCUAAACAGGAUUUAACAUUUCAUAAAAACUAAAUAGAAUGAGGUAUUUUGUGAAAUUUGUGUUAUAUAAGGACAGACAACAAAAACACUGAACUUUUAGUAUGU